RNAcentral lists this ribosomal RNA (168 nucleotides) under Limosilactobacillus fermentum. RNAcentral's name for it is "Lactobacillus fermentum partial 16S ribosomal RNA". The record is from RNAcentral. Lineage: Bacteria; Bacillati; Bacillota; Bacilli; Lactobacillales; Lactobacillaceae.
CACCCCGGCCGUUCUGGGCAGGUUACCUACGUGUUACUCACCCGUCCGCCACUCGUUGGCGACCAAAAUCUAUCAGGUGCAAGCACCAUCAAUCAAUUGGGCCAACGCGUUCGACUUGCAUGUAUUAGGCACACCGCCGGCGUUCAUCCUGAGCCAUGAUCAAACUCA